UACAGAGGGUGCAAGCGUUAAUCGGAAUUACUGGGCGUAAAGCGUGCGUAGACGGUUAUGUAAGUCAGAUGUGAAAGCCCCGGGCUCAACCUGGGAAUGGCAUUUGAGACUGCAUAGCUAGGAUGCGGAAGAGGGAAGUGGAAUUUCCGGUGUAGCGGUGAAAUGCGCAGAUAUCAGGAGGAACACCGGUGGCGAAGGCGGUUCUCUGGGCAUGUCCUGACGCUGAGGAGCGAAAGCGUGGGGAGCGAACAGG
This 253-nucleotide ribosomal RNA is filed under the name uncultured bacterium. RNAcentral describes it as "partial 16S ribosomal RNA". It matches the Rfam family "Bacterial small subunit ribosomal RNA", at positions 524 to 776 of the family's 1533-position model. The record is from RNAcentral.